AGUGAACGCUGGCGGUAGGCCUAACACAUGCAAGUCGAACGGCAGCACAGUAAGCGCUUGCUCUUACGGGUGGCGAGUGGCGGACGGGUGAGGAAUACAUCGGAAUCUACUUUUUCGUGGGGGAUAACGUAGGGAAACUUACGCUAAUACCGCAUACGACCUACGGGUGAAAGCAGGGGAUCUUCGGACCUUGCGCGAUUGAAUGAGCCGAUGUCGGAUUAGCUAGUUGGCGGGGUAAAGGCCCACCAAGGCGACGAUCCGUAGCUGGUCUGAGAGGAUGAUCAGCCACACUGGAACUGAGACACGGUCCAGACUCCUACGGGGGGCAGCAGUGGGGAAUAUUGGACAAUGGGCGCAAGCCUGAUCCAGCCAUACCGCGUGGGUGAAGAAGGCCUUCGGGUUGUAAAGCCCUUUUGUUGGGAAAGAAAAGCAGCAGGUUAAUACCCCGCUGUUCUGACGGUACCCAAAGAAUAAGCACCGGCUAACUUCGUG
RNAcentral lists this ribosomal RNA (492 nucleotides) under uncultured bacterium. RNAcentral's name for it is "partial 16S ribosomal RNA". It matches the Rfam family "Bacterial small subunit ribosomal RNA", at positions 29 to 507 of the family's 1533-position model. The record is from RNAcentral.